UAUGGUUUAUUAGAUCGUGCGUUCUACUUGGAUAACUGUGGUAAUUCUAGAGCUAAUACAUGCAACUGGCCCUAACUUUACGGAGGGGCGCUUUUAUUAGAUCAAAAUCAAUCAGGUUUCGGCCUGUUUUUGUGAUGACUCUGGAUAACUUUGUGCCGACCGCAUGGCCUUGCGCCGGCGGCGUAUCUUUCAAAUGUCUGCCCUAUCAACUUUCGAUGGUAGGUGACAUGCCUACCAUGGUUGUAACGGGUAACGGAGAAUCAGGGUUCGAUUCCGGAGAGGGAGCCUGAGAAACGGCUACCACA
RNAcentral lists this ribosomal RNA (305 nucleotides) under uncultured eukaryote. Its description in RNAcentral is "SSU rRNA". It matches the Rfam family "Eukaryotic small subunit ribosomal RNA", at positions 111 to 414 of the family's 1831-position model. The record is from RNAcentral.